GCAAGUCGAGCGAGAAGAUUAUGAAUGAUCCUUCGGGUGAGUGAUUAGUUGGAAAGCGGCGGACGGGUGAGUAACGCGUGAGUAACCUGCCCCAUACACAGGGAUAGCCAUUGGAAACGAUGAUUAAUACCUGAUGAUACCUUAAUGACACAUGUUAUAAAGGUUAAAGAUUUAUCGGUAUGGGAUGGACUCGCGUCUGAUUAGCUAGUUGGUAAGGUAACGGCUUACCAAGGCGACGAUCAGUAGCCGACCUGAGAGGGUGAUC
This 265-nucleotide ribosomal RNA is filed under the name uncultured bacterium. RNAcentral's name for it is "partial 16S ribosomal RNA". It matches the Rfam family "Bacterial small subunit ribosomal RNA", at positions 57 to 305 of the family's 1533-position model. The record is from RNAcentral.